Molecule: ribosomal RNA, 763 nt
Filed under: Dermacoccus sp. 114
Lineage: Bacteria; Bacillati; Actinomycetota; Actinomycetes; Micrococcales; Dermacoccaceae
Description: bacterial SSU rRNA
Rfam family: Bacterial small subunit ribosomal RNA
Source: RNAcentral
CGGGUGAAUAACACGUGAGUAACCUGCCCCCUACUCUGGGAUAAGCCUGGGAAACUGGGUCUAAUACUGGAUAUGACCAAUCACUGCAUGGUGUGUUGGUGGAAAGAUUUUUUGGUGGGGGAUGGACUCGCGGCCUAUCAGCUUGUUGGUGGGGUAAUGGCCUACCAAGGCGACGACGGGUAGCCGGCCUGAGAGGGCGACCGGCCACACUGGGACUGAGACACGGCCCAGACUCCUACGGGAGGCAGCAGUGGGGAAUAUUGCACAAUGGGCGAAAGCCUGAUGCAGCGACGCCGCGUGAGGGAUGACGGCCUUCGGGUUGUAAACCUCUUUCACCAGGGACGAAGCUAACGUGACGGUACCUGGAGAAGAAGCACCGGCUAACUACGUGCCAGCAGCCGCGGUAAUACGUAGGGUGCGAGCGUUGUCCGGAAUUAUUGGGCGUAAAGAGCUUGUAGGCGGUUUGUCGCGUCUGCUGUGAAAGACCGGGGCUUAACUCCGGUUCUGCAGUGGGUACGGGCAGACUAGAGUAUGGUAGGGGAGACUGGAAUUCCUGGUGUAGCGGUGAAAUGCGCAGAUAUCAGGAGGAACACCGAUGGCGAAGGCAGGUCUCUGGGCCAUUACUGACGCUGAGAAGCGAAAGCAUGGGGAGCGAACAGGAUUAGAUACCCUGGUAGUCCAUGCCGUAAACGUUGGGCGCUAGGUGUGGGGCUCAUUCCACGAGUUCCGUGCCGCAGCUAACGCAUUAAGCGCCCCGCCUGGG